Molecule: ribosomal RNA, 2923 nt
Filed under: Klebsiella pneumoniae
Lineage: Bacteria; Pseudomonadati; Pseudomonadota; Gammaproteobacteria; Enterobacterales; Enterobacteriaceae
Description: bacterial LSU rRNA
Rfam family: Bacterial large subunit ribosomal RNA
Source: RNAcentral
GGGUUGUGAGGUUAAGCGACUAAGCGUACACGGUGGAUGCCCUGGCAGUCAGAGGCGAUGAAGGACGUGCUAAUCUGCGAAAAGCGUCGGUAAGGUGAUAUGAACCGUUAUAACCGGCGAUGUCCGAAUGGGGAAACCCAGUGCAAUUCGUUGCACUAUCGUUAACUGAAUACAUAGGUUAACGAGGCGAACCGGGGGAACUGAAACAUCUAAGUACCCCGAGGAAAAGAAAUCAACCGAGAUUCCCCCAGUAGCGGCGAGCGAACGGGGAGCAGCCCAGAGUCUGAAUCAGCUUGUGUGUUAGUGGAACGGUCUGGAAAGUCCGACGGUACAGGGUGAUAGUCCCGUACACCAAAAUGCACAGGCUGUGAACUCGAAGAGUAGGGCGGGACACGUGGUAUCCUGUCUGAAUAUGGGGGGACCAUCCUCCAAGGCUAAAUACUCCUGACUGACCGAUAGUGAACCAGUACCGUGAGGGAAAGGCGAAAAGAACCCCGGCGAGGGGAGUGAAAAAGAACCUGAAACCGUGUACGUACAAGCAGUGGGAGCACCUUCGGGUGUGACUGCGUACCUUUUGUAUAAUGGGUCAGCGACUUAUAUUCUGUAGCAAGGUUAACCGUAUAGGGGAGCCGCAGGGAAACCGAGUCUUAACUGGGCGUUAAGUUGCAGGGUAUAGACCCGAAACCCGGUGAUCUAGCCAUGGGCAGGUUGAAGGUUGGGUAACACUAACUGGAGGACCGAACCGACUAAUGUUGAAAAAUUAGCGGAUGACUUGUGGCUGGGGGUGAAAGGCCAAUCAAACCGGGAGAUAGCUGGUUCUCCCCGAAAGCUAUUUAGGUAGCGCCUCGUGAACUCAUCUUCGGGGGUAGAGCACUGUUUCGGCUAGGGGGUCAUCCCGACUUACCAACCCGAUGCAAACUACGAAUACCGAAGAAUGUUAUCACGGGAGACACACGGCGGGUGCUAACGUCCGUCGUGAAGAGGGAAACAACCCAGACCGCCAGCUAAGGUCCCAAAGUCAUGGUUAAGUGGGAAACGAUGUGGGAAGGCACAGACAGCCAGGAUGUUGGCUUAGAAGCAGCCAUCAUUUAAAGAAAGCGUAAUAGCUCACUGGUCGAGUCGGCCUGCGCGGAAGAUGUAACGGGGCUAAACCAUGCACCGAAGCUGCGGCAGCGACACGAUGUGUUGUUGGGUAGGGGAGCGUUCUGUAAGCCUGCGAAGGUGACCUGUGAGGGUUGCUGGAGGUAUCAGAAGUGCGAAUGCUGACAUAAGUAACGAUAAAGCGGGUGAAAAGCCCGCUCGCCGGAAGACCAAGGGUUCCUGUCCAACGUUAAUCGGGGCAGGGUGAGUCGACCCCUAAGGCGAGGCCGAAAGGCGUAGUCGAUGGGAAACAGGUUAAUAUUCCUGUACUUGGUGUUACUGCGAAGGGGGGACGGAGAAGGCUAUGUUAGCCGGGCGACGGUUGUCCCGGUUUAAGCAUGUAGGCUGGUUGUCCAGGCAAAUCCGGAUAAUCAAGGCUGAGGUGUGAUGACGAGGCACUACGGUGCUGAAGUAACAAAUGCCCUGCUUCCAGGAAAAGCCUCUAAGCAUCAGGUAACAUUAAAUCGUACCCCAAACCGACACAGGUGGUCAGGUAGAGAAUACCAAGGCGCUUGAGAGAACUCGGGUGAAGGAACUAGGCAAAAUGGUGCCGUAACUUCGGGAGAAGGCACGCUGGUGUGUAGGUGAAGCCCCUGCGGGUGGAGCUGAGACCAGUCGAAGAUACCAGCUGGCUGCAACUGUUUAUUAAAAACACAGCACUGUGCAAACACGAAAGUGGACGUAUACGGUGUGACGCCUGCCCGGUGCCGGAAGGUUAAUUGAUGGGGUUAUCCGUAAGGAGAAGCUCUUGAUCGAAGCCCCGGUAAACGGCGGCCGUAACUAUAACGGUCCUAAGGUAGCGAAAUUCCUUGUCGGGUAAGUUCCGACCUGCACGAAUGGCGUAAUGAUGGCCAGGCUGUCUCCACCCGAGACUCAGUGAAAUUGAACUCGCUGUGAAGAUGCAGUGUACCCGCGGCAAGACGGAAAGACCCCGUGAACCUUUACUAUAGCUUGACACUGAACAUUGAGCCUUGAUGUGUAGGAUAGGUGGGAGGCUUUGAAGCGUGGACGCCAGUCUGCGUGGAGCCAACCUUGAAAUACCACCCUUUAAUGUUUGAUGUUCUAACGUUGGCCCCUGACCGGGGUUGCGGACAGUGUCUGGUGGGUAGUUUGACUGGGGCGGUCUCCUCCCAAAGCGUAACGGAGGAGCACGAAGGUUAGCUAAUCCUGGUCGGACAUCAGGAGGUUAGUGCAAUGGCAUAAGCUAGCUUGACUGCGAGCGUGACGGCGCGAGCAGGUGCGAAAGCAGGUCAUAGUGAUCCGGUGGUUCUGAAUGGAAGGGCCAUCGCUCAACGGAUAAAAGGUACUCCGGGGAUAACAGGCUGAUACCGCCCAAGAGUUCAUAUCGACGGCGGUGUUUGGCACCUCGAUGUCGGCUCAUCACAUCCUGGGGCUGAAGUAGGUCCCAAGGGUAUGGCUGUUCGCCAUUUAAAGUGGUACGCGAGCUGGGUUUAGAACGUCGUGAGACAGUUCGGUCCCUAUCUGCCGUGGGCGCUGGAGAAUUGAGGGGGGCUGCUCCUAGUACGAGAGGACCGGAGUGGACGCAUCACUGGUGUUCGGGUUGUCAUGCCAAUGGCACUGCCCGGUAGCUAAAUGCGGAAGAGAUAAGUGCUGAAAGCAUCUAAGCACGAAACUUGCCCCGAGAUGAGUUCUCCCUGAGACUUUAAGUCUCCUGAAGGAACGUUAAAGACGAUGACGUUGAUAGGCCGGGUGUGUAAGCGCAGCGAUGCGUUGAGCUAACCGGUACUAAUGAACCGUGAGGCUUAACCUUACAACGCCGAAG